Patella vulgata (common limpet) is the source of this 539-nucleotide long non-coding RNA. RefSeq lists it as uncharacterized. The transcript has 6 exons. NCBI's taxonomy places the organism in Eukaryota, Metazoa, Mollusca, Gastropoda, Patellidae. The record is from RefSeq and is a predicted model, not a curated record.
AGAUUUAAUUAGUCACAAGUCGAUAGAAAGGCAAUAGGAAAGAUUCCACCAUAAUAAUGACUACUUUGGUUGUGUUUGUCGCCAUCUUGGCUUGUGUCUGGUCAGCACCAUGUGUACACAAUAACCAUGCUGAUUUAACAGAAGAACAUGUUAUUAAUAUGGUUAUAGAGUCUGCUGAUUUUAAUGAUGAUGGUAUUCUCGACGAACUUGAUCUUGUCAACUUCCUUACUCGUUAUGAUGCUAACAAUAAUAUGAAAGUAGAAAAAGUGGAAUUUGCCAAUGGAUGGGUUUCAAAUUACCAUGACGAGAGAGCUUUUGCAGAACAUGUGUUUGAUUUUCUGAAUACUGAUGCCGAUGGUGUUCUAGAGCCUGGUGACGUACCUGCUCUUAAGGCGAGAGCUGAUAAAUCAGGUGAUGGUAAGGUUCAAGUAUCAGAAAUGAGAACGUUUUUAGAAGCUAUUUACAACGCUUGUUAAUGAGAUUACAGGAAACAGUCAAUAAACCACAAAUAAACAGUAAAAUAAAAUGUUUGGUUUAGA